CAGUAGCCGCGGUAAUACGUAGGUGGCAAGCGUUGUCCGGAAUUAUUGGGCGUAAAGGGCUCGCAGGCGGUUUCUUAAGUCUGAUGUGAAAGCCCCCGGCUCAACCGGGGAGGGUCAUUGGAAACUGGGAAACUUGAGUGCAGAAAAGGAGAGUGGAAUUCCACGUGUAGCGGUGAAAUGCGUAGAGAUGUGGGGGAACACCAGUGGCGAAGGCGACUCUCUGGUCUGUAACUGACGCUGAGGAGCGAAAGCGUGGGGAGCGAACAGGAUUAGAUACCCCUGUAGUCCCUGUCUCUUAUAA
This 301-nucleotide ribosomal RNA is filed under the name uncultured bacterium. RNAcentral describes it as "partial 16S ribosomal RNA". It matches the Rfam family "Bacterial small subunit ribosomal RNA", at positions 509 to 809 of the family's 1533-position model. The record is from RNAcentral.